RNAcentral lists this long non-coding RNA (389 nucleotides) under Homo sapiens (human). RNAcentral's name for it is "non-protein coding lnc-DMBT1-2:2". Lineage: Eukaryota; Metazoa; Chordata; Mammalia; Primates; Hominidae. The record is from RNAcentral.
UUCUCGUCCAGGGCACGUGGGGGACCGUGUGUGAUGAUCUCUGGGACCUGGCUGAGGCCACUGUCGUGUGCCGCCAGCUGCAGUGUGGCCAGGCUGUGGCAGCCCCCACAGGGGCCCACUUUCGGGCAGGCUCUGGGAAGAUCUUACUGGAUGACAUGCAGUGUGUGGGCAGUGAGAGCCAUCUGGGUCAAUGCAUGCGUGGGGACCAGGCCAGGCACAACUGUGGGCACCUGGAGGAUGCCAGUGUCAUCUGCACAGGUGCUGGCAAUUCACCAGGUCUCGCUCCAACCACAGAGCCUGAAGCUGUCACUUCAUCAUACACACCAUCAGGUCAAGCACUGUUAUUAGCUGUGCCCACCACAAAGCCUGCUGUGCUUCCCUCAACCCCC